UACGUAGGCAGCGAGCGUUGUUCGGAGUUACUGGGCGUAAAGCGUGCGUAGGCGGUGUCUUAAGUUUGUUGUGAAAUCUCCCGGCUUAACCGGGAGGGUGCGGCGAAUACUGAGAUGCUGGAGUGCCGGAGAGGUAAGCGGAAUUCCUGGUGUAGCGGUGAAAUGCGUAGAUAUCAGGAGGAACACCUGCGGUGUAGACGGCUUACUGGACGGUAACUGACGCUGAGGCACGAAAGCGUGGGUAGCAAACAGGG
RNAcentral lists this ribosomal RNA (254 nucleotides) under uncultured bacterium. RNAcentral describes it as "partial 16S ribosomal RNA". It matches the Rfam family "Bacterial small subunit ribosomal RNA", at positions 524 to 777 of the family's 1533-position model. The record is from RNAcentral.